Molecule: long non-coding RNA, 219 nt
Filed under: Prunus dulcis (almond)
Lineage: Eukaryota; Viridiplantae; Streptophyta; Magnoliopsida; Rosales; Rosaceae
Description: sRNA ncRNA
Source: RNAcentral
AUGUAUGAAGGUUCUCUUUCGAUUGCUCCUAUUCAUCGCAGACUUACCUGUUUAACAAAACUCUUCCAUUCAUGUUCUGAAAUAUCAACCAAUAAUUCAUCUCUCUCUUCUUCAAACAAUAUAAGCUGUUUAUGUACCCUAAUAAUUAUGCACUGGAGAAUCAUUUUCAGAAAAAGACUGUCACCACCAGAGAUAACAAAUGUUGGUAAGCUUCAAUAA